This is a long non-coding RNA of Gallus gallus (chicken), 2398 nucleotides long. The record is from Ensembl. NCBI's taxonomy places the organism in Eukaryota, Metazoa, Chordata, Aves, Galliformes, Phasianidae.
CACUGCAGUGCACUCAAAAUUUUCCACAUGUACUGUGUCACAAGUGCAGACUGUACAAUGAAAGCAAACGCCUUCUGCUCGAGGUUCUGAUUUUAUUAAUAAUCUAGGAAAAAGUGAUCGGCGAUUAGCUGGCUGACAGCAGUACAGUAUAGCCACUGUGUGUAACUCUGUGCGCGUGUCAAAUGUGUAUUUCAUCCUUCAAAAACAGAAUUAGCUCUGACAGCAGAUUUGCGUGCAGUACCUGAGUGCUGGGCACAAUCAGCGGGAGCAGGAGGAGGAGCGUGCUGAUGUACAGUGGGGCAUUUUGUACCGAUCGUCAUCAGAUGCAUAGCAAUGAGGCACGGAAUAGAAAAAGAAGGCGGUGUUGCUGGCUGGUAAAUAUUUUCUGCCCUUAGCCUCUGCAUUUUGCUGACAUUGUGAGAAUCUCGGAAACUGGCUGAUGAAUGUAGCAGAAGUAGAUGGCUCUUGGUGUUUUGACACUUUGUGGCAGCUUCUAGUAGAAGACAAUGUUGUUCAACUUUGAAUUUGACAAAAUUCUGCAACUUCUACCUGAAGUGUUGGUGUUUUGAUUUGCUGAACGCGUUCCCUUUACCUGCAAGCACUCCGUUCAUUGCUAAUCUCUACACGUUUUGGAAGCCGGUAAUUUGAUUGUGACGGAUUUUAUUUUAUUUGCCAUACUGAGGUAAAUCCACGUAAAUCACACUCUGGGGAGCGCUCUUUCCUUCUGGCCCCUUUAUUUUUUCCAGCUGUAGCCUCUGCUCUGACCACAGAGGGCAGAGCCCUUUCUGCGGCUGAGCGCCUCCAUCCCGAGCAGCUGCUGCAACUGCCACACCACGCAGUGCCACAGCUCUGCACCGCGAGCACCAAAGAGUUAAGCACGUUCCCAGGCUGGGAGCAUUUAGAGCAUUCUUUCCCAGACUGCCGAGAUCAUGGGCUCCUAAUUAUUGCUGCUUGCAAACGCUAGGGCUGUCCUAUAUUCCGCAUAAUUAACAUUGGACUGCUGAUCAAUAAUCAGCAAUAUUCCAGUGCCAAAAUCAAUAGCGAUCCCAGUGCUUUGGUGGCACAAGAGUAGAGCCUGGCAGACGUGAGGCUCAGGCAGGCACGUGGAAUGUGUCCCUUCUUCCUUCAUGGUGCAGUGCACCCUCUACUUCCUAGCAGCUGCAUUAAGAAAGGUGCUGGCCAGUCUGCACACCUCGUCUUUCUUACAAUCGCUUUGAUUCCUUCAUUCAAAUCCAAGGCUCACUUGCUGUUUUGGCGUUACGCAGAUGUGCGUGCGUGUGUGGUAUGGAAUACAGCAGGUUAGGGGAAUAAAGGGAAAAGGAUUCUUGGAUGGCAGCGUUUAUCCUAGCCUGAAAGGAAGGAGUUAGACGUUACUUCUGGCAGUGAGAACUGUGUUCCUGUCCACGGGGACUGCUGAUGGGCUGGGAGCGACGGGCAAUGUGCAGAGUCCCAGCGCUGCACCCAAAGUGCUGACUCGCAUUUCUGUGCAAAAAGCAAUUGCGGAGCGGUUGUUCACAACUGCCGCUCGGUCUCUCCUGGUGCUCCCCUCCCUUUUAUUAAACACAUCGCUGUCCUUUUCCCCCUUACGCUGUUUUUUGUUUGCUUGCGUCUUUUUUUUCAUUGAGCCACAUCGGGCACCUGAAUGGCUUCAUUGUUCGGCCUUCCUCUUUUCCUCCUCCAAACGCAAUUUUAAUUCCUGGAUUAUUUCAGAGCUAAACAAACACCGGCCACGUUCAGCACAAAGCCCUCCAGGCCCGUGCGGCUGCCCCGGGCCCACCGCCAGCGCUGCAGGGUGCGGAGGGCACCAGGUGAGCAGCGCAGCGCAGCCCUUGCCGGGACGGUGCUGCCACGCGCCGCAGCUCCGCGACAUUGCCACCGUUCAAUCUAUUCUCCCCUAACAGAUGAGAUCGAUCCUGACAACUCGUUCUCCGUGAAGGUGCCACGGUGUGCCAUUUAUUUGCAUUUACAUUGCGGCUCUCUUCAUCAAUCAGCUUUCAGAGAUCGCCACCGCUGCUGGCCAUAUUGUUGCUGCGCCGACACUUCAUCUUUAAGUGCCACUUGCGUAAUGGUACGGUGCGUGCCCAUGACCAAAGUUUAAAUCGGGGUUUAAUCAUUACGGAAAAACAAACAUAUUUGCAGGACUGCGUAUCCCGCAAGUAAAAGUAAAGGCAGUUUGCUCGGGUCACAGAUGCUAAUCUCCGCUCUUUUUCUGUUCACGAACUAUAGAGGGAGUUGACAGCACCUGCAAAUGGUUUUCUGAGGCGAGAUUACAUCUAAGGCGAUUAUUAUUUACACCCCCAUAAAGGCAGCGGGGAGGGCGGGCUGCUCUUCGGAGCCGGGCGCCGCCAAAUAAGGGCCCUUUUGCAGGGUUCGGGGGAGCGGGGGCGGCUCCGCGCGG